RNAcentral lists this transfer-messenger RNA (401 nucleotides) under uncultured Prevotella sp. It matches the Rfam family "transfer-messenger RNA". From Rfam's summary of the family: Bacterial tmRNA, also known as 10Sa RNA or SsrA, is named for its dual tRNA and mRNA-like properties. Its role is to liberate the mRNA from a stalled ribosome. To accomplish this part of the tmRNA is used as a reading frame that ends in a translation stop signal. The record is from RNAcentral. Lineage: Bacteria; Pseudomonadati; Bacteroidota; Bacteroidia; Bacteroidales; Prevotellaceae.
GGGCUUGACUGGAUUUGACGGCGGCUGAGGUGGUAUGUAAGCACGCGGAGCCUCGUUGGCUUGCUCCUAAAACUAAGCGAUCGACAAAUUAAUUGGCGAAAACAAUUACGCUCUCGCUGCCUAAUCGAAGCAUAGUAGAUUACUGGCUUUAUCCCGUCACCAGGUGAUGGGACGAGACAUCGCUCAAGGGCUCUUUUUCCGAAACUCCUUGGUGUAGCGGUGCAGUUACGUCGGAAAUAGUCUUCAGGAGGCCUCGGUCCGAAGAUGAAACUCUUAGAGGAUAAGGUAUUGGUUGGUGGUCCAGGUCUUGCCAAUACACGAAAACCAAAGGCUGGAAUAAGCGUGUAGAAAGCAUAUGGUCUAACCGUGCGGACGAGGGUUCGAAUCCCUCCAGGUCCACA